Molecule: long non-coding RNA, 713 nt
Filed under: Amborella trichopoda
Lineage: Eukaryota; Viridiplantae; Streptophyta; Magnoliopsida; Amborellales; Amborellaceae
Description: long non-coding RNA (ATRI_LNC001361)
Source: RNAcentral
CGCCAUACCCAUUAUUUUUUAUUUUCCUCUUUUAUUGACUUUUGACCAUAAAAUUUAACCCCAAUAAAUCUUUUUAUAUCAUUUUAUUCAAAAAACUUUUUUAACCCUCUUUUUCCCGUUCCACCUAUUAAAAAAAAAUUUGAGUUGAAAUGAUAUUUCUACUGGUUAAAAACUUUUGAAUUGAAAUGGUAUAAAAAAAUUUAUUGGAGCUAAUUUUAUAAUUAAAAUAGAGAUAAGAGAUGAAAGGGUAUAGUGAAAUCUUUAAAGGUUUUUUUAUACUGCUCGAAAGAAAAACGAAAAUAAAAUCUACCAUGAAAUAAUACGAAAAAUUAAAAUUCUAUAUGAAAUUUUUCCUUAAAAGAAAUUGUAGAACCGUGUCACAAAUCCACCAUCUCAGCCUAAACAGAAUAAAAUCUCUACGAUGGCUUGGACACUUUACUGCACCAACUUAUGACAUUUUGUGAAUGGCCACAAAUUUUUCUUUGAUACUUACUCGAACUUUGUAAAUUUUCCUAUGUCAUCACGCAACAAACCUCCAUAGGAAGCUCUGACUUUGUGAUCUUAAAUCUCUUUUCAUCUUUGGCCAAAGUUGUUAGAGGAAGUCUUCACUUAGGGCAUUUUUAAAACUCUCAAUCGCUCUUGCCCACUCUGUACUGAAUCACACUACCAUUUUAGAGCUGGUCACUUAGACGGUGAAGGGCAAGCUUUCUAUG